GACGAACGCUGGCGGCGUGCUUAACACAUGCAAGUCGAACGGAAAGGCCCCCUUGUGGGGUACUCGAGUGGCGAACGGGUGAGUAACACGUGAGUAACCUACCCUUGACUUUGGGAUAGCUUCAGGAAACUGGGGCUAAUACCGGAUAGGAGCUCCUGCUGCAUGGUGGGGGUUGGAAAGUUUCGGCGGUUGGGGAUGGACUCGCGGCUUAUCAGCUUGUUGGUGGGGUAGUGGCUCACCAAGGCUUUGACGGGUAGCCGGCCUGAGAGGGUGACCGGCCACAUUGGGACUGAGAUACGGCCCAGACUCCUACGGGAGGCAGCAGUGGGGAAUAUUGCACAAUGGGCGGAAGCCUGAUGCAGCAACGCCGCGUGCGGGAUGACGGCCUUCGGGUUGUAAACCGCUUUCGCCUGUGACGAAGCGUGAGUGACGGUAAUGGGUAAAGAAGCACCGGCUAACUACGUG
RNAcentral lists this ribosomal RNA (465 nucleotides) under uncultured bacterium. RNAcentral describes it as "partial 16S ribosomal RNA". It matches the Rfam family "Bacterial small subunit ribosomal RNA", at positions 28 to 507 of the family's 1533-position model. The record is from RNAcentral.